RNAcentral lists this ribosomal RNA (639 nucleotides) under Triticum aestivum (bread wheat). RNAcentral describes it as "partial small subunit ribosomal RNA". Lineage: Eukaryota; Viridiplantae; Streptophyta; Magnoliopsida; Poales; Poaceae. The record is from RNAcentral.
AUGAAUAUGGAAGUGCAUGCUAUAAUCAGGGUGGAGAUGGAAUCAGCCUCAAAUGUCCUGGAGCAUAUAGUACUUGACCGAAGCGCGGAGCCGACUAAUCUGCCGUUAGCACUUUUAAAACACAUCACUGAGGAUUUCAAUGAUAAGCAACAAAUUGGCUGUGGUGGAUUUGGAAUUGUUUACAAGGGCGAUCUUCAAAACAGUAGUGUUGCUGUUAAAAGGAUUUUAAACUACCAUACAAUCAACGAUGAAUCAUUUAAUCGUGAGACUACUUCUCUAAUCAGUGUACAACACAAAAAUAUUGUACGGUUUCUAGGCUACUGUGCUAAUACAGAGAAUAAAGCGAUGAAACAUUCAGAAUCGGGAGAACCUUCGAAGUAUAUUUUUGCCGAGAUGAGGGAAAGGUUACUCUAUUUCGAGUAUAUAAAAAAUGGAAGCCUUGACAGAUAUCUUACUGACGAACUAAGGGGACUUGAAUGGCAUACGCGCUACCAGAUAAUUCGAGGAAUAUGUGAUGGUUUGGUUUAUCUUCACACAGAAAAGGGUAUUGUUCAUAGGGACAUGAAACCUGAGAAUAUACUGCUUGAUGAUCUUAUGAUACCAAAAAUUACAGAUUUUGGUAUUAUCAAAACUCCUUGA